GCUGAAGUAGCUCAGCUGGGAGCUCAGCUGGGAGAGCGUUAGACUGAAGAUCUAAAGGUCCCUGGUUCAAUCCCGGGCUUCAGCA
Non-coding RNA from Tympanuchus pallidicinctus (lesser prairie-chicken), 85 nucleotides. Lineage: Eukaryota; Metazoa; Chordata; Aves; Galliformes; Phasianidae. The record is from the annotation of a RefSeq genome assembly.